GACGAACUGUUCUAACGUUAUUCGGAAUCACUGGGCUUAAAGGGCGCGUAGACGGCUUGUUAAGUCUGGAGUGGAAGUCCUCUUUUCAAGGGAGGAAUUGCUUUGGAAACUGGCGGGCUUGAGUGCAGGAGAGGUUAUCGGAAUUCCCGGUGUAGCGGUGAAAUGCGUAGAGAUCGGGAGGAACACCAGUGGCGAAGGCGGGUAACUGGACUGCAACUGACGCUGAGGCGCGAAAGUGUGGGGAGCAAACAGGAUUAGAUACCCUGGUAGUCCCUGAG
RNAcentral lists this ribosomal RNA (278 nucleotides) under uncultured prokaryote. Its description in RNAcentral is "partial 16S ribosomal RNA". It matches the Rfam family "Bacterial small subunit ribosomal RNA", at positions 524 to 801 of the family's 1533-position model. The record is from RNAcentral.